GUGUAUUAGAUACCCUGGUAGUCCACGCCCUAAACGAUGUCAACUGGUUGUUGGGUCUUCACUGACUCAGUAACGAAGCUAACGCGUGAAGUUGACCGCCUGGGGAGUACGGCCGCAAGGUUAAAACUCAAAGGAAUUGACGGGGACCCGCACAAGCGGUGGAUGAUGUGGUUUAAUUCGAUGCUACGCGAAAAACCUUACCCACCUUUGACAUGGCAGAAAUCCUUUAGAGAUAGAGGAGUGCUCGAAAGAGAAUCUGCACACAGGUGCUGCACGGCUGUCGCCAGCU
This 289-nucleotide ribosomal RNA is filed under the name uncultured bacterium. RNAcentral's name for it is "partial 16S ribosomal RNA". It matches the Rfam family "Bacterial small subunit ribosomal RNA", at positions 773 to 1060 of the family's 1533-position model. The record is from RNAcentral.